UACGAAGGGGGCUAGCGUUGCUCGGAAUGACUGGGCGUAAAGGGCGCGUAGGCGGAUUGUACAGUCAGGCGUGAAAUUCCCGGGCUCAACCUGGGGGCUGCGCUUGAGACGUGCGAUCUUGAGUGGGGAAGAGGGUCGUGGAAUUCCCAGUGUAGAGGUGAAAUUCGUAGAUAUUGGGAAGAACACCGGUGGCGAAGGCGGCGACCUGGUCCUUGACUGACGCUGAGGCGCGAAAGCGUGGGGAGCAAACGG
Molecule: ribosomal RNA, 252 nt
Filed under: uncultured bacterium
Lineage: Bacteria
Description: partial 16S ribosomal RNA
Rfam family: Bacterial small subunit ribosomal RNA
Source: RNAcentral